UUCCCUAAACUGUGAGCUCCUUAAGGGCAGGAAGGAUUCCUCACAUCUCUGAUUCCUCACAUCUCUGAUUCCUCAAUCCAGAGCACAGUGCCUGUAUUCAGGAGGAGCUUGGAAAAUGUUGAAUACACGGAGUUGAAGGGCUGAGGCACGGAGAGGAUAAGAACAUCAUCAAAUAUCACAUAGCCAUCCUAAUGGAUGUGAAAUGGCACCUCUUGUGGUUUUGAUUUACAUUUCCCUAAUGAGACAAAUUUUGACUCGGAGGGAGUGAGGCCAGCAUAACAGAGGAAAGCAGAGCCUGGAAACAGAGAGCUGAUGACAAGACUUGAACCUGAUCCAGCCACAUCUGAAGCCAGAACACCCCUGGACUUCCAAGUUGCAAGAGCCAAUAAAUUCCUCCCCAUUUUUUUGGUCCAGAGAUGUCAGGUUAUAUAAUGCAAUGGCAUAGAAGUCUGGAGAUGGACAAUAUUAAAGAAAGAUGCGUUGUGCUAGUCAAACCAAAGUCUUACCGCCAUGACUGCGCUCUGAAUGCUGUUCCAGGAAGAACCUCAAGGAUGUUGUCCACAUAAUGAACUAGAGGCAGGAUAUAUGCUUCUCUCCUCCUACCAGGGUCAACUUGCCGUCACGAUUGGAGGACCAAAAGAGCGCCUGGCAUAUGGGUGCUCAGUGAGUACGUGUUGCAUGAACGUGUGAACAAAAGCAAUCGGAUUUGUUGUACCAGGCGCAGUGCUGGAUGCCUCUUCAGAAGCUGCCUCAUUUGCUCCUUGCAGUGACCCUGUCAGAACGUAAUGUUCUCAUUGUCUCUCAAAUGAUAUGGAGGCACAGAGGCAGGAGGUAACCAAGAGCACAGAGCUGUGGUCAUCACAUAACCUCUGCCUGCAGGCUUGGCCCCAGCCGCAGCUUCAGAACGAGUCCUUCUCUGUGGAGAGGGCUUGAAGACCUCUGGUUCAGUGCUGAGGGGGAUUCAACAUCAACCAUGGUUCCGCUGGUCCUGCUGGCUCAGCUGGGGGCAAGUGGGCCUCCACCCUAAAUGCAGUAAUGGUAGAGUUGUUAAGAUGGCCCCUGGGACAGUACUGUCCGUGUUUUAAUCUCAGCUCUGCUCUUACUAGUGAGCUUGGAUCCCUGAAAGAAUCACCAGGACUUUGCAGACAGCACUUUGAGAAGGAACAUUUGCUGAGAUGCUGCUUCUCCUGCCAAGCCAUUCUCUCGCUGGAUCGUCGAAGAGGAGGGAAAGCAGCCAAGAAAGAAUUCCUGAGCGAGUACAACCAUGUAAAUUAGCACAGGCCACAAAUCCAAAGGAAAUCAUUCUGUGAGAAGUUAAAAAUGAAAAUGGAGUCCGGAUGGUGUUGCUCAGUGGAUUGAGUGUCAUCCCAUGGACUGAGAGGUCCCAGUUCGAUUCCUGGUCAGGUGAUU
Long non-coding RNA from Molossus molossus (Pallas's mastiff bat), 1410 nucleotides. RefSeq lists it as uncharacterized. Lineage: Eukaryota; Metazoa; Chordata; Mammalia; Chiroptera; Molossidae. The transcript has 10 exons. The record is from RefSeq and is a predicted model, not a curated record.